CGGCUACUAGGCGACCCGUCCGCACCGGCCGCCUGCGUCGCGGCGGCCGGUGGGGCGUCGGUGGGCCUGCUCAGGUCCGGACGUAGUCGCC
RNAcentral lists this transfer RNA (91 nucleotides) under Pseudonocardia asaccharolytica DSM 44247 = NBRC 16224. RNAcentral's name for it is "tRNA-Arg". The record is from RNAcentral. Lineage: Bacteria; Bacillati; Actinomycetota; Actinomycetes; Pseudonocardiales; Pseudonocardiaceae.